Molecule: ribosomal RNA, 161 nt
Filed under: Heterocapsa pygmaea
Lineage: Eukaryota; Dinophyceae; Peridiniales; Heterocapsaceae
Source: RNAcentral
GGAUUGGCUCUNAGGGUUGGGUAUAGGGGNCCUUGUUCUGAUGUUCGAGCUGAGCAGAAGCUACUUGACGCUCCGGUGGAUAGUGGAUUCGCCAUGGCGAGAAUUGCCGGACAAGGAACGCUUCGGGCUUUCCCUGUGCAGUGAACAACCAAUUCAGAACU